This is a long non-coding RNA of Acinonyx jubatus (cheetah), 2653 nucleotides long. RefSeq lists it as uncharacterized. The transcript has 6 exons. Lineage: Eukaryota; Metazoa; Chordata; Mammalia; Carnivora; Felidae. The record is from RefSeq and is a predicted model, not a curated record.
UAGAGCAGAACAGGGGUGGAGGCCUCUGACAGGUGACAGAGAUAAGAGGAGGGCUGGACUCCAGGAGCCCGGCAGGACAGCCAAACUCAUCAGGAGUCAGCCUGGUAACUGUCUCCUCCUUGCAAGGCUUGAGAACUUUCUCCGGUGACCUCCAGGUGAUCUUGCUUCCUUGAUUCUGAAGAAGCUAUGUCAGGAACUGUGUGCUGGAAUAUUCAUUGCAAUGUUAUCAGAUAUUACACUUACGAGAGGCUUAUUUUGUGCCCAACUCUGUUCUAAGCGUUUUAUGUGAAUUAUCCUGUGUAAUCCUCCCAAACAGUCCUACGAGGGCUGGCUUGGCAAGUGUGGGGGCGAACCAGAAGUGCCAGGGAGUUCACGUUUUCUGGGAGCAUCCCUCAACGGAUGACUGACAGGAGUUCUUGCUCUGGAAGAUAAAUACCCAGCUCCCUUGCCUCCAGGACAACUCUGAGCACAUACCUCCCUUUUCGUGAUACAGUAUGGCUGCUAUAGCACCUGCCAUAACAUCUGCAUUCUAACCAUGGAGACCUUAUAAAAGGGAAAUGAAAGGAAACAGAGGCUAAGAGGUGUGAAGCAGCUUCCCCGAGGCCACACGGCUACUAAGGCCCAGAGGAGGGAUUUGAAUUCAGGGCUGUCUGCCAGAUGGAAGAGCCUGAGGCAAUGCCCACUGCACCACCCUGCCCCAUCUGUAAGGUCUUUCCCAGUUUUGCUGGUCUGUGAUGCUGGGAGAACACCAGGACCUUCUGAGGAGCAACCAAAGACAGCAUUUGAGUGUUUAUCUACUUUCCACAAACAUCUCGCGUCAGCGGUUUCUUUUUAACAGGAGGAAAAAGUUUCUGGACAAGAAUGAGGCCUCUUGAUGAAUGCUGUGGGGGCACAGAGUAGACUGCCGUGUAGAAAGUGCUAGAACAGGGAAAGAAAUCCUCUUGCACUUCUCAGGCUGAUGGGUGAUGAGUAGUGGCUUCUUAAAGUGCUAUCUGUGAAAAGGAGUUCUGAGGCCACAUCUCAGGAAGGAGGAUUGCUGUGAUCCACAACGGAUGUCUGUCACGCUCAGGGUGGCCAUAUCUCGGGAACAUGGUCCAAGAUAUUGACUGGGUGAAUUGAGAUGGCCAGCUUUAAACUGAAGCAGCCACUUUAUCCUCAAUGCUGCCUCCAUGUCUAAUGCAUAGUUUUCUCAGUAACUGUUUUUUUUUUUUUUAACGAAUUCUUUAAUUUAUACUUCUUUGGAUGUGAGUUCAUUUGAGUCUGUCAGGUCCUACAGCUCAGUGAUCCCUCCCAGAAGUGAGUGGCCAGGGAGUGCUGUGAGGAAGGCGGUGCUGUUUCUGUUUCAUACACGUGGUCAGCAAAGAACUCACUGGCAGAGUGACAUUUGAGCCAAGACUGAGGCAAGUGAGGGAGCAAACCAUGAGGGUAUCUGGGGGACGAUGUUCCAGGCAGUGGAAACAGCCAGUUCAAAGUCCCUGAGGAAGGACUGUGCUUGACAUGUUUGAAGAACAGUGAAGAGGCUGGGAUGGCUGGAAUGAAGGGAGUGAGAGCCAGAGCAGUGGAUGUUGCGGUGAGAGGUGCCUGAGACUAAUUCCUAUAGGGCUGCACAGUCAUAUUACAGGCUUUGGCUUUGACCCUGAGCAAGAUAUGGGCCAUCAAAGGAUUUAGAGUCUAGAAUUGACUUAUGUUUUAAGAGGAUCCCUCUGGCUGCUGGGCUAAGAACAGACCAGGUAGAAGCAGUGAGGAGGUCACAGCGUUUCCAGAUGAGAGGUGAUGGUGGCUGGGUCAACAGUAUAGACAUAGGGAGAAGUAGUCCGAUUCUGGAUAUGUGUUGGAGGCAAGAGAUGGCAGAAUUUGCUAACGGAUUGGAUUAGGUGUGGGAUGUGAGAGAAUAAGAGAGUCACGGGUGAUCCAAGAGGACAAGAGAGUCAGGAUGAUCCCAAGUUUUGGCCUGAGCAAUUGAAAGGAUGGAGCUGCUACCACUCCCUGAGUCUGGGAGGGGCUAGUUUAAGGCAACAGAUCAGGAGCUCAAGGUCAGACAUGGAUUCUGGGGUGAGAUCAUGGAAUUCAACUGAAGGCCGUACUGGCUGCAUCAGGCGAUUGCCCUUUCUUUUUUGCUCCUUCUAUGGCCUCUUGGCAUGUCUAUAUUUUGAUUCUUCCUCUUCUCUUUGCAAACAAGUUUUCUCUGAUUAUUUUUUCAACAUCCCUCAGCAUGAAAACAUCUGACUCUACCCUGAUCUGAAUGGCUACUGCCUUAGUGUAUGGUUUAGAGCAGCAAUUUUCAAAUUGUGUGCCAAGGCACCUGGGGGUUCUGCAGUAAACUCAUAGGGGCACCAUGUAAUAUUUUACAUUUUCAAGGCAAAUACAGUGAUAGUUGACAUCUCCCCGAUGCCUCUUGAACUACUAGCUUAAGGUAGCUCAAUGCAGUUUCAGCAUUAGAUUGCACGACAUUCCUUUCCAUGCCGCCAUAUCUUUGUAAGGUGGGUUUUCCGUGGUUGUUGUAAUAAAAAGCAAUUGUUACUUGAAAGUCAACCUGGAACGGGAAAGAAGGUGUUGCCCAAUCUGCUGCCAAGGUUUGAGAAUUCACGCAGUGCCCCAACAUCCCAUUGACAGCAAUUGUGAUUAAGAAUGAAAUAAAAAAAUUUUCUUUCAA